AAUUUGUCCAAAUCUGUUUUGGAGAAUAAGGUAACGAAAUUUUCCAAAUUUUUUUUCAAUUUAUAUCCGUGCCUUAAACAGUUUAUGUGGUUGUACAUGAAGUUUGAGUUCCAUUUGACAAAGGUUAACUCAACAACGGAGAUUCGACUACACUAUGCCCCCGAUGAGCGAAGGUUUGUUUUAAAUGAAAAAGGUAAAAUCGACCAUUAUUCUU
This 214-nucleotide long non-coding RNA is filed under the name Gossypium barbadense (sea-island cotton). Its description in RNAcentral is "long non-coding RNA (GBAR_LNC007202)". Lineage: Eukaryota; Viridiplantae; Streptophyta; Magnoliopsida; Malvales; Malvaceae. The record is from RNAcentral.